GAUGAACGCUGGCGGCGUGCCUAAUACAUGCAAGUCGAGCGAACGGACGAGAAGCUUGCUUUUCUGAUGUUAGCGGCGGACGGGUGAGUAACACGUGGAUAACCUACCUAUAAGACUGGGAUAACUUCGGGAAACCGGAGCUAAUACCGGAUAAUAUUUUGAACCGCAUGGUUCAAAAGUGAAAGACGGUCUUGUUGUCACUUAUAGAUGGAUCCGCGCUGCAUUAGCUAGUUGGUAAGGUAACGGCUUACCAAGGCAACGAUGCAUAGCCGACCUGAGAGGGUGAUCGGCCACACUGGAACUGAGACACGGUCCAGACCCCUACGGGAGGCAGCAGUAGGGAAUCUUCCGCAAUGGGCGAAAGCCUGACGGAGCAACGCCGCGUGAGUGAUGAAGGUCUUCGGAUCGUAAAACUCUGUUAUUAGGGAAGAACAUAUGUGUAAGUAACUGUGCACAUCUUGACGGUACCUAAUCAGAAAGCCACGGCUAACUACGUG
Molecule: ribosomal RNA, 497 nt
Filed under: uncultured bacterium
Lineage: Bacteria
Description: partial 16S ribosomal RNA
Rfam family: Bacterial small subunit ribosomal RNA
Source: RNAcentral